CUCGGCGGCCAUGGCGGUGGGGUCACACCCGUUCCCAUUCCGAACACGGAAGUUAAGCCCACCAGCGCCGAUGGUACUGCCCGGGCCACCGGGUGGGAGAGUAGGACGCCGCCGGGA
This 117-nucleotide ribosomal RNA is filed under the name Gemmatimonadota bacterium. Lineage: Bacteria; Pseudomonadati; Gemmatimonadota. The record is from RNAcentral.